This 1041-nucleotide ribosomal RNA is filed under the name Garicola sp. 2 ME-2017. RNAcentral describes it as "bacterial SSU rRNA". It matches the Rfam family "Bacterial small subunit ribosomal RNA", at positions 38 to 1088 of the family's 1533-position model. Lineage: Bacteria; Bacillati; Actinomycetota; Actinomycetes; Micrococcales; Micrococcaceae. The record is from RNAcentral.
GGCGGSGUGCUUACACAUGCAGUCGACGAUGAUGCCCAGCUUGCUGGGUGGAUUAGUGGCGAACGGGUGAGUAUCACGUGAGUAACCUGCCCUUGACUUUGGGAUAAGCCCGGGAAACUGGGUCUAAUACCGGAUAGGACUUCGCAUCGCAUGGUGUGGGGUUGAAAGUUUUUAACGGUCUUGGAUGGGCUCGCGGCCUAUCAGUUUGACGGUGGGGUAGUGGCCUACCGUGGCGAUGACGGGUAGCCGGCCUGAGAGGGUGACCGGCCACACUGGGACUGAGACACGGCCCAGACUCCUACGGGAGGCAGCAGUGGGGAAUAUUGCACAAUGGGCGCAAGCCUGAUGCAGCGACGCCGCGUGCGGGAUGACGGCCUUCGGGUUGUAAACCGCUUUCAGUAGGGACGAAGCCCUUCGGGGUGACGGUACUUGCAGAAGAAGCGCCGGCUAACUACGUGCCAGCAGCCGCGGUAAUACGUAGGGCGCGAGCGUUAUCCGGAAUUAUUGGGCGUAAAGAGCUUGUAGGCGGUUUGUCACGUCUGCUGUGAAAGCCCGGGGCUCAACUCCGGGUGUGCAGUGGGUACGGGCUGACUAGAGUGCAGUAGGGGAGACUGGAAUUCCUGGUGUAGCGGUGAAAUGCGCAGAUAUCAGGAGGAACACCGAUGGCGAAGGCAGGUCUCUGGGCUGUUUCUGACGCUGAGAAGCGAAAGCAUGGGUAGCGAACAGGAUUAGAUACCCUGGUAGUCCAUGCCGUAAACGUUGGGCACUAGGUGUGGGGGGCGUUCCUCGUCGUCCGCGCCGUAGCUAACGCAUUAAGUGCCCCGCCUGGGGAGUACGGCCGCAAGGCUAAAACUCAAAGGAAUUGACGGGGGCCCGCACAAGCGGCGGAGCAUGCGGAUUAAUUCGAUGCAACGCGAAGAACCUUACCAAGGCUUGACAUACACCGGAUCGCGCUGGAGACAGUGUUUCCCUUCGGGGCUGGUGUACAGGUGGUGCAUGGUUUGUCGUCAGCUCGUGUCGUGAGAUGUUGGGUUAAGUCCG